RNAcentral lists this ribosomal RNA (1022 nucleotides) under uncultured Lentisphaerota bacterium. RNAcentral describes it as "bacterial SSU rRNA". It matches the Rfam family "Bacterial small subunit ribosomal RNA", at positions 45 to 1095 of the family's 1533-position model. Lineage: Bacteria; Pseudomonadati; Lentisphaerota. The record is from RNAcentral.
UGCUUACACAUGUAAGUCGCACGAGAACGCUUCAGCUUGCUGAAGUUAGUAAAGUGGCGCACGGGUGAGUAACGCGUGAGCAACCUGCCCCCGAAUCCGGGACAGCCUCGGGAAACCGUGAUUAAUACCGGAUGCGGUCCUGCGCUGCAUGGUGCGGUGACCAAAGAUCCGUUGUUCGGGGAUGGGCUCGCGUCCGAUUAGCUUGUUGGCGGGGUAACGGCCCACCAAGGCUGUGACAGGUAGCUGGUCUGAGAGGAUGAUCAGUCACACUGGGACCGAGACACUGCCCAGACUCCUACGGGAGGCUGCAGUCGAGAAUCUUCCGCAAUGGGCGCAAGCCUGACGGAGCGAUGCCGCGUGAGGGAUGACGGCCUUCGGGUUGUAAACCUCUGUCAGGGGGGACGAAGAAUGUGACGGUACCCCCAGAGGAAGCCACGGCUAACUACGUGCCAGCAGCCGCGGUAAUACGUAGGUGGCGAGCGUUAUUCGGAUUCACUGGGCGUAAAGGGUCCGCAGGGGGUUUGCCAAGUCUGAUGUGAAAUCCCGGGGCUCAACUCCGGAACUGCAUUGGAAACUGGCGGACUGGAGUCUGCGAGGGGUGAGCGGAAUUCCUGGUGUAGCGGUGGAAUGCGUAGAUAUCAGGAAGAACACCGACGGCGAAGGCGGCUCACUGGCGCAGUACUGACCCUCAUGGACGAAAGCGUGGGUAGCGAACAGGAUUAGAUACCCUGGUUAGUCCACGCCGUAAACGUUGUGCACUAAAUGCAGCCGGAUCUGAUCCCGGCUGUGUCCCAGCUAACGCGUUAAGUGCACCGCCUGGGGACUACGGCCGCAAGGCUAAAACUCAAAGAAUUGACGGGGGCCCGCACAAGCGGUGGAACAUGUGGCUCAUUCGAGGCAACGCGAAAAACUUACCUGGGUUUGACAUAAUCCCACCGCCGUGGAACACGGUUCCCUUCGGGGCGGAUACAGGUGCUGAUGGCUGUCUCACUCGUNCGCGAGGUGUCGGUUAGUCGGCACGA